AACAUCAAUAUGAUUGGUCAAAUCGAAAUCCAGGGUCAUACGCCAGGCGCAUUAGAUGUGCAAUAGUAGAUGGGAUCUAGUGCCGGGGUCGGGAUUUUUGCCGUAUGCGUAUGCUUCGGUAAAUGAGCCGUAACUUUUCGGUACGAUCUCGGAUCGGGGCGAUUUUUAUACGAAAAUUGAUCUACAGAAAAAGUUACAUAUAAAUUUCAUCGGCUUUGCCGUUUUUGGCGAGAUUAGAUUUCCCAAAUUCGGUACGCCUAACUCUGUUUUGCAGGAUGUAUGUAUGUAUCUUGUGAUUAGUAUGACCCCAUUGUGUAUGUGAUGCAUGUGUGUAACUCAUUCGUGACCUGCGUGUCACACGUACGGCAACACGGCAGGAGCCAUAUGUGUUGUCACUUUAUUGUAUUUAAUGGUCUGCGUACCAAUCUGUGAUGAUCCAAGCAACUAUGUAAUCUUCA
Molecule: long non-coding RNA, 458 nt
Filed under: Setaria viridis
Lineage: Eukaryota; Viridiplantae; Streptophyta; Magnoliopsida; Poales; Poaceae
Description: long non-coding RNA (SVIR_LNC006776)
Source: RNAcentral